Notolabrus celidotus (New Zealand spotty) is the source of this 2454-nucleotide long non-coding RNA. RefSeq lists it as uncharacterized. The transcript is spliced from 3 exons. The record is from RefSeq and is a predicted model, not a curated record. Lineage: Eukaryota; Metazoa; Chordata; Actinopteri; Labriformes; Labridae.
CGCACCUUAAUGGUACGCUGUCACCUGGUGUAGUUGGAGCUCAUUAGCCUCAUUAGUCUCUCUCCUGACGGUGUAACACGGAUUUAAACACUGGAAUCACUUUGUUUUAUUUAUGGGACAUACUUCAAAGUUCAGGUGAGAUACCUCAGCUGAUUUGAGGAGGAGGAGGAGGAGGAGGAGGAGGAGGAUGAUGAAGAGGAUGAGGAGGAUGUUUUAGAACCUGCAGAAUCCUCCAGGUCUUCAGCGAGGAGCAGACGAGAACCACGUCCCAGGGUGUCAGACGUUUGAUCCCGCUGACCGUCCAUCCCUGAAACUCUCUCCGUCACCCUCGGCAGAUCAACACAUCCUCCUCUGAGCCGCCGUGGCAUCCGCAUCCGUCCAGGGUCUUAGCGGCCUCCAGCUGCAGCCCUGAGGACACCGACCUGAAGUGAAGGAUUCUGGGUGAUUUAAGCUAACUUUUGGAUUUCGUCUGAUCGAGCUGUGGAUGUAAUCGGAGAGAGAGAUGUUGGACUCCAGGAGGUGAUGCGCUCCUCGUCCUGUCAUGUAGACCUGCAGAAACCUCGGACAGACUUCUCCACGCCCGGCUGCUGUGUGUUCAGACACACACACACACACUGACACACACACUCUGAGCGAGCUGAGCGAGGAGUUCCAAAGUGCCACCAGGUUAUUAUCAGCUGCCACACUUCCUAUUUUCCUCUUUAAUCUUUGUAUUCAGAGUAAUCAUCUUUUUAAUUAAUGGCGACGGCAGCGUGAAAUCUUCCCUCGACAACCGCCUCCCCUCCCUCGCCGCUCUCUGCUCUCCUGCCGCCGGAGACACCUGAAACCAAUUAGCGACAGCAGAUCGAGAUGGGGAUUAGACACAGGAAGAGCAGCAGAGAUUAGAUACAGACCUAAAGAGAUUGAAGAAGAAGAAGAAAAAAGAGGCGCCAAACGACGAGGAGGAGGAGGGAGGGGCUUAAAGGAUCCGUCGGCCGUCGUGAGGGAUCGAUACGAAGGAGGAGUAGAGGGGCGGGGCUGCGAGAGAGGACAUGGCGAGCUCGGGGCGGCGGCACGCAGCCAAGAUAACAAGCAGGUGUGAGUCAGCAGGUAGCUGCAGGAGCCCCGAGUCUUGACUGACAGGCACCCGAGACAGGCAGGACCUCAUUGGGAUUCCUGGACCGUGCAGGAGCGAGCGAGAGCGAGCGAGAGAGAGAGAGAGGAAGUGUUGGCCGGUCGCCACCAUCAGGGCCAAUUAAGAGGAUUUGAUUAUAUGCCUUAAUCUCUGCAGUCAGGUGUAAAAAGCAGACAGGAAGAGAAAGAGGAAGGCAGAGCAGGUGCCAGCGAUACACACCAUUAUCUCCGGCCGUCCGCCGGUGAUUGAGUUUGUUUCUGUCCCAGUCGUGUUCCCUCGUUUCUUCAUCUCCAGAGGCCCGAGACGGCGAGGGGGGAACACUUCCACUUCGCCUCGGAUGCUAAUUCUUCCUGUUCUUGUUUAGCGGCAGCGUCCUCGUCCUCGUCCUCGUCCUCGUCGUGCAGCGAGGCCAGAGAAACCUGCGCUUCUCUGGCCUCCGUUUCAGAUCCAGGUUUUAGGACAUGUUGGAUGUCCCCUCUGCUCUCUGAACGUCGAGGUUAAGACAUCAAAACAGAGACAGACGGACGGAGAGGACACGGCUCAGACUUUCCUCGCCUCACUGGAGUUUUUUUUCCCAGCAUUCCUCCUUGUGGAUCGUAUAUUCUGCGCCUGAGCGUGUUUUUGGAUCCUGCUGAGAUUAAACUGGCCUCCAUCAUCCCAGAGAGUCCUCUGAAAUUGGCUCCUGGUGUCAUCAUCUUCAUUCUUUCGUCCCCUCUGAGCCGUCAAAGUCCACUCCGUCCCCUGAAACUCUGCAGACAAAGAAAGGCCGCCGCUUGAUUGAAAGGUCAGCGGUUCAGUCGGUUCAGCAGACUGCAUCGUCUGUCCUGUCCCAGUGUCCUUCAGUCCAACUCUCCACAGGCGGACGUCCUUUUAUUUCACGCCGCUCCGCCGUGAUUACAGAUACAAACGAUUACAGUUUGAGGCGCUGCCAGAUAAACAAAGUUCGUCUCCUGCGUCUUAUCGACUGACCGUGCCUCCGGGGGACUUUCACCCACCACAUGUUGAUCCUGAAAGUGUGUGAAUGCAGCAGAAAUAACCACCCAUGAAAGAUGAUCACAGAGCCAGCCUCGGCGCUGCAGGUCCAGUGGAUUCUGAGAAUGAGCCGGUCCAAGUGUGAGGCUCUGAAAUGUCUCUAAUCCUGCAGCCAAAUGUGGACAGCAGCUUGCCAACACUUGGCCUGACAAAACAAAGUCAUGGACACAAAAGAUCAGAGCUCGUGGUGUGGUUUGGAGACGGCUGGUUCACUCUCCAAACUCGGGCAGCAGUGCAGCCGGUCCGUGACUUUAUGCAUCAAAGGAUGACCCUGAACACACCUCUAAAUAAAGCUGUGACAAAGACGA